Molecule: non-coding RNA, 2210 nt
Organism: Ictidomys tridecemlineatus (thirteen-lined ground squirrel)
Lineage: Eukaryota; Metazoa; Chordata; Mammalia; Rodentia; Sciuridae
Source: RefSeq, a predicted model, not a curated record
GGGUCCGCCCCGGCUCCGGGGUGGUGGCCCAGAGAGGGGUCCCGGGAGCCUGAGUUCCAAGCGGGGGCACGAGGAGCGGAGGGUGCUGCAGGCUUCCCGCCGGGAUCACCGGUCCCGGGUCGUCUGCGGGCGCAGAAUCGGGAGGGACACUUCGGGGUGUCGAAGCCUGGGGAGGGUCCCCGGCCGCGCGGCCGACCCCUGGGUCCCGGCUGGAAGGAGAGGGGAGGAAGGAGCUCUGAGUGAGUUAAUCACCAGGAGCGCCUCCUGAGUCACCCCCCCCCCAGUGCCAACGACGUAAAAGUGCUCACUGAGUCACUUCUCUGGUCCCCAGCGACUCACAAACCCAGGACUACAAAUCCAGUUGGAAACCAAGUGCUUUAGUGGCAAAAGGAGUUUCCCAACCAUCGUCUCAGGCGGCAAGCCCAGAAGUCUGGCCCUGGAGCCGCCACCCGGGCCCUUGUCCCCGUCCACCCGGAAGCCGGCCUCGCCGUCUGCACGGGGUCAGGUCCUGCAGGAACCAGGCUCACUGUGUGAAGAGUGUUUCCCCGUCGUCCUGGCUGCUCUGCCCGGUGACCUUGAGCCUCCAGGCCUCCUCCCUGGCCCUGAGACUCUGCUGGAAAGUGGAUUAUAAAGAGAAUAGAUCUGAGGAUGAGGCAAGACGCAGAAAGAGCGUCGGUGAGCAGUGACCUCUCCUCCCAUGCUGGGCCAGGCACCGUGAUCCAAAGACUUGUGGAUCCUGUGACUGAACAUUCCAGAGUAAAGACUUCAGGUGAGGCUUGAUCCAGCAACUCAAAACUAUCACCUAGGAGUCUUUUUCUGUCCACCUCGCCUCUCUGCCUUCCACAGGGUCUACCUACUUCAUUUGGGGGCAUUAUAAGAUGCCUGAGCUCCGUGGCUGAGAACCACUUUUAUCCUUUGAAGUCCAGCCCUGGGAAAAAAAGCAUCCCUAUUUCCCAGGAUUCUCCUCUCUGAUCGGUCCGUUUUAAGGUCCUAGGCCACCCCUGAACCCAUCCUAGUGGCCAGGAAGAUGGAAUGUGCUGGACAGCUUGGCCAAAAUCCCAUGCUUCGUCUCUGGCAGCGGGGUGACACCAGUGUCCCUGACUCUACCUGCAGGCUUUACGGGGAUCUAGUCCUGAUGGGAGGUCGCACGUGGCCGGGAGGUUGACCCCCAUGGGGCUAUGCAACUCGGGCAAGUCACCCCCCCCCAGUUUCUCUAUUGCCAAGUGAGUGGUUGGAUGAGCCGGUCCCCCAGACUCGCCAUGUCACCAGACCUCUCCUCUGUGUGUCCAACCCCAGGGAGGGGUCCUGAGGGUCACGGCACCGCUGCCCUCCGGCCUGUCUGGGCUUCGAGGGCUCCACUGCACUUCCCCCCAAGCACCAGCCCCGAGCCCGCCUUCCUCCAGGGACACGCUGAACCGCGGUCCUGGGGCCCGGCUGAUUCAGCUCCCUGGGGCCCGGGGCUUCAGGACUGAGGUGAAGGAUCGGGGCCGCAAGUCCCUGGAGAAAGAGAGUUGUUUGUUUAUCUUGACUCAUAAAAAGCCACACAAGAAGGAGGUUUAGAAGCUUCGGGCAGGUUAUGGACGCCAUAAACGCGGCUGAUGUGAUAUUUUUAGGAUGAAAAAUUGCCCAAGAUGGAAGAGAAGCAAGUCAAGCUCCUCAGGGCACCAGGGCCGUCUCCCUCUCCCUCUCCCCAGAAAAACCACCUUAGACAUUGUCAGGAAGACAAAGAGGGCAGAUCAAGCGUGAGUCCAGGCGUGUCUACGAUGCCCAUCUCAGCACCAGGAGACCCAGCUGGUUUGGGUAGUGCUGGGGCCUCUGGGAGCAGGGGUGGCCUCCCGGGUUUACUAAGCCGAGAGGAGCAGGAGCAGCCAUUUUGUGCUAGGAGGCGCCCUGCCCACAGCUCUCACAGUAGGGAAGGGGAGACUGGGAGGCGAGGACAAGACAGAGCCCAGGACCGCCUGAGACUGGAGUCCCCGGGACUUAUCCAGGUUCAUUUAGCCACUCAGCAAAGGCUAAAUGAACCUAUUUAUGUGCCAGGCCUCAAAAUAUAGGCAUGAAGAGGAUUCCGCCCCCCCCCCCAGGAACUUUCCUUUUUAAAUACAGUCCCUGUGCUUGCUUGGCAGGAAACCAGAGCCCUCAAGACAUUCCUGCUGAUUUGUGGGGUUCCCUUCCCAUCCCGAACCCUAACUUGUUCCCUUCUCUCAGUGAAG